AGCCAGAAGAAAAUAUUUUUGGUCAAACCUGCCCAAUGUGUAAAUGAAUGGCCGCGGUACCCUGACCGUGCUAAGGUAGCGUAAUCAGUUGGCUUUUAAUUGGAGUCAGGUAUGAAUGGGAUAACCUGGUUUAGCUGUCUCUAAAUUAUUCCUUUGAAUUUACUGUUUAAGUGAAAAAGCUUAAAACCUACAAAGGGACGAGAAGACCCUUAGAAUUUUUUUUAAUAAGAUUUAUCUUUCUGAUUUUGUUGGGGCGACAGAGAAAAAUUAAAAACUUUCCUUAUAAAUUACAAGCCGAAUUUUAAGUUAGAAUAAAUUACCUGAGGGAUAACAGCAUAAUUCUAAAAUUGAGUUUGUGACCUCGAUGUUGGACUAGGAAACUAGCAGAUUAGCCGUUUGUUGUGUGGGUUCUGUUCGAACUUUAAUUCCU
This 430-nucleotide ribosomal RNA is filed under the name Facelinidae sp. CASIZ 177614. Its description in RNAcentral is "partial 16S ribosomal RNA". It matches the Rfam family "Archaeal large subunit ribosomal RNA", at positions 1920 to 2665 of the family's 2987-position model. Lineage: Eukaryota; Metazoa; Mollusca; Gastropoda; Nudibranchia; Facelinidae. The record is from RNAcentral.